Molecule: non-coding RNA, 46 nt
Organism: Erinaceus europaeus (western European hedgehog)
Lineage: Eukaryota; Metazoa; Chordata; Mammalia; Eulipotyphla; Erinaceidae
Source: Rfam
CUAAAGGCUCUUUUCAGAGCCUCCAAUUCAAACUUUGAAAAGAACU